UACGUAGGGGGCUAGCGUUGUCCGGAAUCAUUGGGCGUAAAGAGCGUGUAGGCGGUCCGGUAAGUCCGCUGUGAAAGUCGGGGGCUCAACCCUCGAAUGCCGGUGGAUACUGUCGGGCUAGAGUGCGGAAGAGGCGAGUGGAAUUCCUGGUGUAGUGGUGGAAUGCGUAGAUAUCGGGAGGAACACCAGUGGCGAAGGCGGCUUCCUGGACCGGUUCUGACACUGAGGAGCGAAAGCGUGGGGAGCGAUCCGG
Molecule: ribosomal RNA, 253 nt
Filed under: uncultured bacterium
Lineage: Bacteria
Description: partial 16S ribosomal RNA
Rfam family: Bacterial small subunit ribosomal RNA
Source: RNAcentral